UAAUUAUAAUUCAAGGCGGUCC
This 22-nucleotide non-coding RNA is filed under the name Arabidopsis thaliana (thale cress). Lineage: Eukaryota; Viridiplantae; Streptophyta; Magnoliopsida; Brassicales; Brassicaceae. The record is from RNAcentral.